GACAGAGGCCCCAAGCGUUAGGCGGAAGCACUGGGCUUAAAGCGUGUGUAGGCGGAUCGUUAAGGGUCUUGUGAAAUCCCACGGCUCACCCGUGGAACUGCUGGGCAUACUGGCGAUCUUGGGCCAACUAGGGGCAGUCGGAACAAGCGGUGGAGCGGUGAAAUGCGUAGAUAUCGCUUGGCCCGCCGAAGGUGAAAACAGACUGCUUGGGUUGCGCCGACGCUGAGACACGAAAGCCAGGGGAGCAAACGGG
Molecule: ribosomal RNA, 253 nt
Filed under: uncultured bacterium
Lineage: Bacteria
Description: partial 16S ribosomal RNA
Rfam family: Bacterial small subunit ribosomal RNA
Source: RNAcentral